This 213-nucleotide long non-coding RNA is filed under the name Lathyrus oleraceus (garden pea). RNAcentral's name for it is "Pisum sativum (pea) long non-coding RNA (PSAT_LNC005524)". Lineage: Eukaryota; Viridiplantae; Streptophyta; Magnoliopsida; Fabales; Fabaceae. The record is from RNAcentral.
AUUGACUUGCAGUCCUUGAGAUCGACAUUCGGGGAAUUUCCCCAUUAUUACUAUAAAAGGCAAAAUAGUACAUUUGUUAUUUUCCCGAUCAGAAAGCUCGGAGGAGACUGAGGAAGCUCUUAUAUUUUCAAGGUCGAAAUCUAAAACUCCUAAGUUGAACAUCAGUCGAAAAAAGAAAAAUAACCAAAAAAAAUCCAAACCCAAGAAAGCCAA